RNA transcript from Oncorhynchus kisutch (coho salmon), 1052 nucleotides. It is a transcript of the gene named vacuolar protein sorting-associated protein 29, with no coding region annotated. Lineage: Eukaryota; Metazoa; Chordata; Actinopteri; Salmoniformes; Salmonidae. The record is from RefSeq and is a predicted model, not a curated record. The transcript has 4 exons.
CGUAUCUCUAGAUCCCAGCAUAUAAAGCAUGUUGGUCUGCUAGCUAGCCCGAGAUGGAUGAACGAUGAUCACAUGACAAAAAAGUGGUCUGAAUAACGCAGUACUGCUCAAAUCAAUCACCCUUUCAAUAUGCAUUGGGUUCUACUUUAAAUUUGUCAUUGUCUGUGAAUCUGUGUGAUGAGAUUGAGUUUGCUCGAGUAGCUAGCUAACGUUAGCUAAUUUCCUUCUCCAUGUCUCAGCUAGCAGUUGGUCCUGGUGUUAGGUGACCUGCACAUCCCCCACCGAUGCAACACCCUACCAGCCAAGUUUAAGAAGCUGUUGGUGCCAGGCAAGAUCCAGCACAUCCUCUGUACAGGAAACCUCUGCACCAAGGAGAGCUAUGACUACCUGAAGACACUGGCUGGGGACGUACACAUUGUCAGGGGAGACUUUGAUGAGAACCUGAACUACCCGGAGCAGAAAGUGGUGACAGUAGGUCAGUUUAAGAUCGGCCUGAUCCAUGGGCACCAGGUGAUCCCCUGGGGGGACAUGGCAAGCCUGGCCCUGCUGCAGAGGCAGCUCGACGUCGACAUCCUCAUCUCUGGACACACACACAAGUUUGAGGCCUUCGAAAACGAGAACAAGUUCUACAUCAACCCUGGCUCAGCAACUGGAGCCUACAAUGCACUGGAAAGCAACAUCAUCCCAUCUUUUGUAUUGAUGGACAUCCAAGCAUCCACAGUGGUGACGUACGUAUACCAGCUCAUAGGAGAUGACGUAAAAGUGGAGAGGAUUGAGUACAAGAAAUCCUAAACCCAAGGCUGAAAAGGAAGGGGUGCUGUCGUUCAGUGUAUCGUUUCAUUCCUGUCUACCUGCAGCUCCAACUACAUAACCACAAAAAAAAUGCUCUACCAUAACUGUUUGCUAACUUAACUCUAUAAAGAAAUGUAUAUUUUAUGUCAUCCGCAUUGGCAUGUGUUCCACCCACCAUGUGGUGUCUGUAAAAAUAAAUGUAAAAAAUGCAAUUGUCACACGCGUUUGCAUAAUGUCAUUCAAAUAAAUAUUUGGUGCCA